This 242-nucleotide ribosomal RNA is filed under the name uncultured Petrimonas sp. RNAcentral's name for it is "partial 16S ribosomal RNA". It matches the Rfam family "Bacterial small subunit ribosomal RNA", at positions 796 to 1041 of the family's 1533-position model. The record is from RNAcentral. Lineage: Bacteria; Pseudomonadati; Bacteroidota; Bacteroidia; Bacteroidales; Dysgonomonadaceae.
CACGCAGUAAACGAUGAUUACUCGCUGUUUGCGAUACACAGUAAGCGGCUUAGCGAAAGCGUUAAGUAAUCCACCUGGGGAGUACGUUCGCAAGAAUGAAACUCAAAGGAAUUGACGGGGGCCCGCACAAGCGGAGGAACAUGUGGUUUAAUUCGAUGAUACGCGAGGAACCUUACCCGGGCUUGAAAUGCAUUUGACCGGCUCAGAGACGAGUCUUCCCUUCGGGGCAAAUGUGUAGGUGC